UCCUGUUCCCUUUUUUCUCAGCUACUCUAAAGCACAUAUUUUACUCUGUGGAAUACUGGAAUAAAUUACCUGGAAGACCUUCAAAAGAUGAGCCGGAGCGUCGUCGUGGAAACUGCAGCCCCAGUUGUGCCCUUUGUGUGGGAGGAGGUGUUGAAUCCAGUCUUCAAAGCGCCCGUGUUGGGGCCCCGGCUGUGUUGACCCCCUGCCCCACUGGCCCUGCGGGAACUCACUGAAAAAUUCCCAAGAGUCUUAAAGACAAUAACUCCUACUCAGGGAAAAGAAGGAAUCAAAGGAGGAGUCGCGAGCACUCAGUA
Non-coding RNA from Heterocephalus glaber (naked mole-rat), 314 nucleotides. The record is from RefSeq and is a predicted model, not a curated record. NCBI's taxonomy places the organism in Eukaryota, Metazoa, Chordata, Mammalia, Rodentia, Bathyergidae.